CAAGGGAUCAUUACCGAGUUUACAGCUCCCAAACCCAAUGUGAACGUUACCAAACUGUUGCCUCGGCGGGGUCACGCCCCGGGUGCGUCGCAGCCCCGGAACCAGGCGCCCGCCGGAGGAACCAACCAAACUCUUUCUGUAGUCCCCUCGCGGACGUAUUUCUUACAGCUCUGAGCAAAAAUUCAAAAUGAAUCAAAACUUUCAACAACGGAUCUCUUGGUUCUGGCAUCGAUGAAGAACGCAGCGAAAUGCGAUAAGUAAUGUGAAUUGCAGAAUUCAGUGAAUCAUCGAAUCUUUGAACGCACAUUGCGCCCGCCAGUAUUCUGGCGGGCAUGCCUGUCCGAGCGUCAUUUCAACCCUCGAACCCCUCCGGGGGAUCGGCGUUGGGGAUCGGGACCCCUCACACGGGUGCCGGCCCCGAAAUACAGUGGCGGUCUCGCCGCACCCUCUCCUGCGCAGUAGUUUGCACAACUCGCACCGGGAGCGCGGCGCGUCCACGUCCGUAAAACACCCAACUUUCUGAAAUGUUGACCUCGGAUCAGGAAUGAAUACCCGCUGAACUUAAGCAUAUCAGGUAGGGAGAGGGAA
Molecule: ribosomal RNA, 588 nt
Filed under: Trichoderma asperellum
Lineage: Eukaryota; Fungi; Ascomycota; Sordariomycetes; Hypocreales; Hypocreaceae
Description: eukaryotic LSU rRNA
Rfam family: 5.8S ribosomal RNA (bases 197-350)
Source: RNAcentral